UUGCAGUGGGUACGGGCAGACUAGAGUGUGGUAGGGGAGACUGGAAUUCCUGGUGUAGCGGUGAAAUGCGCAGAUAUCAGGAGGAACACCGAUGGCGAAGGCAGGUCUCUGGGCCACUACUGACGCUGAGAAGCGAAAGCAUGGGGAGCGAACAGGAUUAGAUACCCUGGUAGUCCAUGCCGUAAACGUUGGGCGCUAGGUGUGGGACUCAUUCCACGAGUUCCGUGCCGCAGCUAACGCAUUAAGCGCCCCGCCUGGGGAGUACGGCCGCAAGGCUAAAACUCAAAGGAAUUGACGGGGGCCCGCACAAGCGGCGGAGCAUGCGGAUUAAUUCGAUGCAACGCGAAGAACCUUACCAAGGCUUGACAUAUACCGGAAACUUCCAGAGAUGGUUGCCCCCUUUGGGUCGGUAUACAGGUGGUGCAUGGUUGUCGUCAGCUCGUGUCGUGAGAUGUUGGGUUAAGUCCCGCAACGAGCGCAACCCUCGUUCUAUGUUGCCAGCACGUAAUGGUGGGGACUCAUGGAAGACUGCCGGGGUCAACUCGGAGGAAGGUGGGGAUGACGUCAAAUCAUCAUGCCCCUUAUGUCUUGGGCUUCACGCAUGCUACAAUGGCCGGUACAAAGGGCUGCGAUACCGCAAGGUGGAGCGAAUCCCAAAAAACCGGUCUCAGUUCGGAUUGGGGUCUGCAACUCGACCCCAUGAAGUCGGAGUCGCUAGUAAUCGCAGAUCAGCAACGCUGCGGUGAAUACGUUCCCGGGCCUUGUACACACCGCCCGUCAAGUCACGAAAGUCGGUAACACCCGAAGCCGGUGGCCCAACCCUUGUGGGGGGAGCCGUCGAAGGUGGGACUGGCGAUUGGGACUAAGUCGUAACAAGGGUAACCG
RNAcentral lists this ribosomal RNA (885 nucleotides) under Terrabacter sp. qy11. RNAcentral's name for it is "bacterial SSU rRNA". It matches the Rfam family "Bacterial small subunit ribosomal RNA", at positions 621 to 1502 of the family's 1533-position model. The record is from RNAcentral. Lineage: Bacteria; Bacillati; Actinomycetota; Actinomycetes; Micrococcales; Intrasporangiaceae.